UCUCCGUAGGUGAACCUGCGGAGGGAUCAUUACCGAGUGAGGGUCCUUGUGGCCCGACCUCCAACCCCCUGUCUUCCGACUCUGUUGCCUCGGGGGCGACCCGGCCCUCGUGCCGGGCGACCCCGGAGGUCCAUCAAACUCUGCAUCCUUGCGUCGGAGUAUUGAAAGCAAAUCAAUCAAAACUUUUAACAACGGAUCUCUUGGUUCUGGCAUCGAUGAAGAACGCAGC
RNAcentral lists this unclassified non-coding RNA (229 nucleotides) under uncultured fungus. Its description in RNAcentral is "sequence contains ITS1, 5.8S rRNA gene". The stretch from base 181 to 229 matches the Rfam family "5.8S ribosomal RNA", at positions 1 to 49 of the family's 154-position model. The record is from RNAcentral. Lineage: Eukaryota; Fungi.